Triticum aestivum (bread wheat) is the source of this 134-nucleotide non-coding RNA. The record is from Rfam. Lineage: Eukaryota; Viridiplantae; Streptophyta; Magnoliopsida; Poales; Poaceae.
UUAUUACUCCCUCCGUCCGGAAAUACUUGUCAUUAAAAUGGACAAAAAGGGAUGUAUCUAGAUGUAUUUUAGUUCUAGAUACAUUAUUUUUGUUCAUUUUAAUAACAAGUAUUUCCGGACGGAUGGAGUACUUU